UGGGGAAUAUUGGACAAUGGGCGAAAGCCUGAUCCAGCCAUGCCGCGUGUGUGAAGAAGGUCUUCGGAUUGUAAAGCACUUUAAGUUGGGAGGAAGGGCAGUAAGCGAAUACCUUGCUGUUUUGACGUUACCGACAGAAUAAGCACCGGCUAACUCUGUGCCAGCAGCCGCGGUAAUACAGAGGGUGCGAGCGUUAAUCGGAUUUACUGGGCGUAAAGCGUGCGUAGGCGGCUAAUUGAGUCGGAUGUGAAAUCCCCGAGCUUAACUUGGGAAUUGCAUUCGUUACUGGUUAGCUAGAGUGUGGGAGAGGGUGGUGGAAUUUCCUGUGUAGCGGUGAAAUGCGUAGAUAUAGGGAGGAACAACAGUGGCGAAGGCGACCACCUGGGCUCAUACUGACACUGAGGUGCGAAAGCGUGGGGAGCAAACAGG
RNAcentral lists this ribosomal RNA (429 nucleotides) under Pseudomonadota bacterium. Its description in RNAcentral is "Proteobacteria bacterium partial 16S ribosomal RNA". It matches the Rfam family "Bacterial small subunit ribosomal RNA", at positions 355 to 776 of the family's 1533-position model. The record is from RNAcentral. Lineage: Bacteria; Pseudomonadati; Pseudomonadota.